Molecule: ribosomal RNA, 389 nt
Filed under: uncultured bacterium
Lineage: Bacteria
Description: bacterial SSU rRNA
Rfam family: Bacterial small subunit ribosomal RNA
Source: RNAcentral
GACGAACGCUGGCGGCGUGCUUAACACAUGCAAGUCGAGCGGAAAGGCCCUUUCGGGGGUACUCGAGCGGCGAACGGGUGAGUAACACGUGAGUAAUCUGCCCUUGGCUUUGGGAUAACUACCGGAAACGGUGGCUAAUACCGGAUACGACUGCUCCCGGCAUCGGGGGUGGUGGAAAGUUUUUUCGGCCAGGGAUGUGCUCGCGGCCUAUCAGCUUGUUGGUGGGGUAAUGGCCUACCAAGGCUUCGACGGGUAGCCGGCCUGAGAGGGUGACCGGCCACACUGGGACUGAGACACGGCCCAGACUCCUACGGGAGGCAGCAGUGGGGAAUAUUGGACAAUGGGCGGAAGCCUGAUCCAGCAACGCCGCGUGAGGGAUGACGGCCUUC